AAUUGACCGAACCGCACAUCUCCGAUCUUGCCAAUGCUUCCCUUCCUCUCCCCCACGAUACAUAAAUUUACGUUGGUAUUUCAUACUACGAGCUAGCAUAAUCGCAAGUUAGUGCUGUAACAUCCUAACUACAGAGUACUGCUAUUAAUAAACGACCACGUCGCGACCACCUGCCUUACAGUGCGUACACGUCAGGAACCACUUGACAACGACAACCUGUCGGAUCGUCCCGGUACGUUCUCCCUUUUCAAGAUAAUGCUAGUAGAAACAAAUUGCCCAAAGAAAUAGGCGCUAUAUCGAGAAAAGUCAGAAACGGAGAGAGCAACGCCCUGCCAUCAUGGCUGCUUAUGAACCGGCGUUUGUCCUCGAUCUUUUCGCCGUUAAGAUUAUGACAGAUCGCCGUGAAACGCGCUAAAUUAAUAACAGUGUUGAACUUAACACUCUGAACGGUACAGUACUUACCUUUUAGAAUCGAAGGUAACCAACAAAGUACACGAUCGUUGAUCGGCAAAGAGACACCGCAAGAAUACUAUCGGCACGACGAAACGAGACUCGAGAGCCGCGAGUUGCGAACACUGUGAGUGAGCAAGAUCGUGGCCGGUACCGUGUCAUGUGGACUCGCUCAAAGAAUGGAUUCGUCCGGCUUCCCCACCACUUGGAUUCACAGCUCUUGCCAUAUAUGGGCAUAAAACGAAAGCGGCUCGCUGAUUGGUCGGUUGGCCGGCUGCCGGCUAGAUUCUCCAAAUGCCGCUUCAAACUGUACGAUACGGGGAGCAUAAUGCCUUCUGGAAGCGUACACUAGCUAAGGGCUUUCCUGACUAACCGUCAGAGCUGUUUGUAGUAGUAAACGUAUCAAUAUGUACGAACGUAUAUGUGAAGAUUAUCACGUUCUUUGUGUGCGCGUGCUAGCGACCAGUACCGGCAGUAGAAGCUAAAAAUAGACUCAAGGGCGCGGAUAAGGGUGCACUGGACUACUACCACGUCACGUAAGCCCUAUGCUUCGGCCCUAUUUCCUGUAUAUGUGUCGGUCCGACGGAAGGCGGCAUGGUGUGUGUGAGUGCAGUGUCUGCUUCAAAAUCGAUACGCGUGUUCGUGCAGUCUACAAUGGUACAUCGUACUUGUGCACGGAAACCACGUGGUGAUGGAAACGUCAAAGUACGACUGAUGAUACUGGUUGUUAUUUUGUCGUAAAACAUUUUGUAAUUAACACGUUUAUCAGUCGUAAUCAUUACUAUUAAUAAAGCAUGUUGUUAUCAGUUAAAAAGCAAAAUACAAAGAAAUUAAUUAAUAGCGACGUUGAUGAAAUAUCGUUCGUUUAAAUAUACAAUUAUACGUUUUUUAAGUCGUAAUAGCGUUUGAGUUAAUACAAUAUCGUAAAUCUUAAAAUCUAUUUAAAAAUGUGUUUUCAAAGUUGGCUCAUUCAUAUUAACAGAACAUUCGCAUACAUACUUUGAACUUAAUGCCUUAUAAGAAAUACAUGUGAGAUACGUACCAUUGAUUAUUAAUAUAUUGUUUAAGUUUGGACAUUGCGAAAGGUAUAGUGGAGGAAACAGAACAGUUUUAUAAAUACACCUGCCACGUUCCUUUGUCGAAAUAGUGCUUUGAUGACAUAAUCAGUGAAUCAUUUGUACCUAAUAAGAAAUCGUAUCGGGUUAUGCACUCGUUCCUCUACGAGGACGUGUCAAAUUCUGUUCUUGAUUUUAUUUUUGAUUACGUGUAGAAUUUCAUGAUUAUUUUUAUUUUUUAAAUUUAACCACCAUACUUUAUAUGGACGUCAAAUUUAAAUAUACGUCAUUAAUGUGCCAGAUAAACGGAUGGACUGCUUCACCCAAGUCUAACCUAACCUCGAAACAUCGAAGCCGGCACCCAGCUGUCACACGCACACAGCAUCUUUAUACACGUCAAUUUCGUGUAACUCCAUUGUCCUUUUAACCGCUCAGGUUUUUAUUAGACAAUACGUUAUUUUAUUCAAGUAUAAUAUCAAAAGAUAAAUACAAUACAAUGGUAUCUACGGAAA
Long non-coding RNA from Bombus impatiens (common eastern bumble bee), 2017 nucleotides. RefSeq lists it as uncharacterized. Lineage: Eukaryota; Metazoa; Arthropoda; Insecta; Hymenoptera; Apidae. The transcript has 4 exons. The record is from RefSeq and is a predicted model, not a curated record.